This 429-nucleotide ribosomal RNA is filed under the name Bacteroidota bacterium. RNAcentral describes it as "Bacteroidetes bacterium partial 16S ribosomal RNA". It matches the Rfam family "Bacterial small subunit ribosomal RNA", at positions 355 to 776 of the family's 1533-position model. The record is from RNAcentral. Lineage: Bacteria; Pseudomonadati; Bacteroidota.
UAGGGAAUCUUCCGCAAUGGACGCAAGUCUGACGGAGCAACGCCGCGUGAGUGAAGAAGGAUUUCGGUUCGUAAAACUCUGUUGUUAGAGAAGAACAGCGCAUAGAGUAACUGUUAUGCGUGUGACGGUAUCUAACCAGAAAGCCACGGCUAACUACGUGCCAGCAGCCGCGGUAAUACGUAGGUGGCAAGCGUUGUCCGGAUUUAUUGGGCGUAAAGCGAGCGCAGGCGGUCAAUUAAGUCUGAUGUGAAAGCCCCCGGCUCAACCGGGGAGGGUCAUUGGAACCUGGUUGACUUGAGUGCAGAAGAGGAGAGUGGAAUUCCAUGUGUAGCGGUGAAAUGCGUAGAUAUAUGGAGGAACACCAGUGGCGAAGGCGACUCUCUGGUCUGUAACUGACGCUGAGGCUCGAAAGCGUGGGUAGCAAACAGG